RNAcentral lists this long non-coding RNA (203 nucleotides) under Prunus persica (peach). Its description in RNAcentral is "long non-coding RNA (PPER_LNC001673)". Lineage: Eukaryota; Viridiplantae; Streptophyta; Magnoliopsida; Rosales; Rosaceae. The record is from RNAcentral.
GAACAUCACCAAACACAGUAUAACUUAGUCAGACUAUUUAUCUGGAACAGCACCAAACGCCUUAUAAUAUUAUGGAUAAAGAGUCAGUACUCUCCGGAACAAAUUAAUAUUAUCCGACGAAAAUUAGUCAGUACAGUCCGACGUACCAAACGAGCCCUAAAAGUAAAACUAAAAUGGACAAAAGCCGCACUAAAACUAUUAGC